UCCUACGGGAGGCAGCAGUGGGGAAUAUUGCGCAAUGGGGGGAACCCUGACGCAGCCAUGCCGCGUGAAUGAAGAAGGCCUUCGGGUUGUAAAGUUCUUUCGGUAAUGAGGAAGGGAUGUUGUUAAAUAGAUAGCAUCAUUGACGUUAAUUACAGAAGAAGCACCGGCUAACUCCGUGCCAGCAGCCGCGGUAAUACGGAGGGUGCGAGCGUUAAUCGGAAUAACUGGGCGUAAAGGGCACGCAGGCGGACUUUUAAGUGAGAUGUGAAAUCCCCGAGCUUAACUUGGGAACUGCAUUUCAGACUGGGAGUCUAGAGUACUUUAGGGAGGGGUAGAAUUCCACGUGUAGCGGUGAAAUGCGUAGAGAUGUAGAGGAAUACCGAAGGCGAAGGCAGCCCCUUGGGAAUGUACUGACGCUCAUGUGCGAAAGCGUGGGGAGCAAACAGGAUUAGAUACCCUGGUAGUCC
This 467-nucleotide ribosomal RNA is filed under the name uncultured bacterium. RNAcentral describes it as "bacterial SSU rRNA". It matches the Rfam family "Bacterial small subunit ribosomal RNA", at positions 337 to 796 of the family's 1533-position model. The record is from RNAcentral.